Long non-coding RNA from Asparagus officinalis (garden asparagus), 505 nucleotides. RefSeq lists it as uncharacterized. The transcript has 3 exons. The record is from RefSeq and is a predicted model, not a curated record. NCBI's taxonomy places the organism in Eukaryota, Viridiplantae, Streptophyta, Magnoliopsida, Asparagales, Asparagaceae.
CCUACGUCUAAGAGUGGAGCCACCAGAGAAGCUACGACUUAAAAAAAUAAAAGGCACUCGGAAUUUUUAUUGGGGGGAAUAAGGCACCAGAUCAUCUUUGACACAAAGGAUUUUCUUGUGGCUCCGAAGUUUCAUUAUGAGUGGUAUUGUAAUUGUCUUCAGGUUUAGGAAACUGAGCAGGAAAAUCCACUUUGGUCGGUCGAUCGAAGUAGUGAAACCGGUCGACCGAUGUGAAGCCAAGAAGAAUUACAGGAGUUUCGGGUUGGUCGACCGACGGGCUUGCCCCGGUCGACCAAUAACGUGCACGAGAAGCAGAUUGUAGGAAAACGUUCUGGCUGUCGACCGAUGUGAUGCUAUCGGUCGACCGAUGUUGGAUUUUCAAGUUUCGUGAUUCGGGUUGGAAACUGUUUUGGGCUGAGAUACUAUAUUUACCUUGAACGUUUUAGGGUUUAUAUGACAUACGAAAAAUAGGCUUUUUAAGGGGAAUUUGAGAGAGAAAUCUCAU